AAGGAGAGCUAUGACACUCUGCACAAGACACACCAGCGCUGUGAUGUCAGCGAGUGCAUUCACACAGAAGGCAGGGAGCAAGCAGAGGAAGAGGGGCCCUGGGAGCUGCUCCUGUGCGCCUCGUGUGCUGCGCAAGGCACCCACCGGCUCUGCUCUGAUUUGAGCGGCAGCAUAAGCACCUGGGAGGGUGACAUCUGUGCUGGCGUGGGCACAGCCUCCAGUGCCGAGUCGCAGCUUGCUGGUCCCAGCACUGCCAGCCAGGAGGCGGCGGGGCCAUCUCAUAGCUCCCCAGCACCUGAUGACAGCGGAUCUGCCUCCACCAGCCAGGCAGCAUUGGAGUCAUCUCCGAGUUCCCAGGUGCCUAAGCGCAGCAGCCUGUCCAGCCAGCCCGGGACAGGACAGAGGAAAAGCCAGAGACGUAAAUCCAACGAGCAACACCAAGGGAGCAGCCAGCAGGAAGCGGGGUA
Molecule: non-coding RNA, 467 nt
Organism: Meleagris gallopavo (turkey)
Lineage: Eukaryota; Metazoa; Chordata; Aves; Galliformes; Phasianidae
Source: RefSeq, a predicted model, not a curated record